AGAAUAUGGAAUGUGGAUACAGCUACCUAGGCCUUUCAUAUGUAUGGACCAGACUCACUUUUCUCUAGGAAAUCAGUCUAAUGUCAGAGAUAAUGGGAGGGCUGGAGAGAUGGCUCAAUGGUUUAAAAGGCAUGCUGCUUUCAUAGAGGACCCAAGUUUAGUUCCCAGCACCCACAUCAGGUAGCUUACAGUCGUCUGUAACUCCAGCUCCUGGGGAUCCAACACCUCUGACCUCCAAGGGGUCCUGGACUCAUGUGCAUAGACAGACACAUGCAUAUAAUCAAAAAUAAUAAAAACAAAUCUUAAAAUAAUAAGAUUAAUAAUAGAAUUAAAGGUUUAAAAAAACCUCAUAGGAAUUAGCUGACUUUCACACACGAUGUGACAGAUUCAAGAGAAGCUGUGAAACCCAGGGAAGGAGCUCACAGGGGCUUCAGACAAGAUGGCGCACUCCAGGGGCCAAAUACCCUCGCAUUUGAAAGAACAUGGCCAUCAGCAAACUGUGAGGACAGGAUGCUGCUGCCAAGGAGAGUGCUUCAAUAGAGACAGACCCCACAUUUGCUGGAAGCAGUCUGUUACCAAGACAAAUGGAAGACAGAAAGAUUUCCAACUGUAAACGACCUUGUACUGGAACGGAAGACACUGUUUCCUGAGCUGGAUUUAGCAAGCAUUAGCAUAGGACAGGACAUCAGAAGCACAACCCAGCAGACAAAAAGUAAGUAGGUGUGGAGAGGGGGCAUCAACAUUGAAGACUUGUGUGGAUCAAAUAAGAAAAAGCAGAAAAGGCAGCCUCCAGAAGGUAAGAACGCGCUUUUGAAAUAUCCGACAAUGAGUAAAUAUCCAAAAAUAUUCAAGUGACUCCUACAGCUCAACAACAAAACUCCAUACAGGGCUGGAGGGAUGGCUCGCUCAUUCAUAGGACUCAGGUUCAGUCCCCAGCACCUACAUGGUGACCCACAAUCACCUGUAAUUCUAAUACGUAUUGAUGAAAAGGACCUACAAUGCCAUGAGGAAAACUCACAUGACAGACAGCAUCAAGGUACAGCUUAGAUAUUCAGAAACAGUCAGUGCGCUGAGCAGCUAGGCAAAGGGUCCAGUUUACCUUAAAGUUAAAAAAUAAAUACAAAAAUACAAAAAGCUCCAUGCUUGAAACAGUACCCCUUAAAUAGUGGCUCAUCAAGUCUAAAGAUACUGGGGCUAGAGAGUUGCCCUAGUGGUUAAGAACACUUGAAACUCUUAACAGAGGACCUUGGUUCACAUGGUGACUAACAGUCACCUAUAACUCCAAUUCCAGGGGUUCUGAUGCCCUCUGGUGGUCAUUGUAGGCUCCUGCAUAUACUUGGUUCCCAUAAACUCACACAUAUACACAUAAAUUUUAAAAAUAUAUUCUUUUUAAAAUGGUGCCAAUGGAAAAUGCUAAUAAAAUGCUCACAGAAACUAUGAGCUUAGAUCUUGACCUACAAUCUUAUCUUUGCUCAGAGAAAGGAGCAACAUUUUACAAAUGCAAGAGCCCAGGGGGUAAAUUCUCGAGCCUUCCUUUCAGUGAUAGAGAUACAGGUCAAACUUGAACGAGCCAAGUGAUGAGGAGAAAAGGAUGUUACCACUGAAAAGGACCAGCGGGGCUAUGAUGUUCAUCUCCACGGGCAACUCGAUUGGAUGGAGAGACGCUUAGAGAACAAGUAGAGCAAAUGUCACAAAACCAGGAGGGGGAUCCCAGAGGGGACUGCCAUGUCAGGCUGCAACUGAGAGGAAGACAUUCCCUGAGGGUGACAGUGCCACCCACAGCUGGAAUAGAAGCAGAAGUGGGUGGAGGCCGUCUAGCAUCCCCUCGCUUUCAGUCAGCUUUCCGGCCACGGUAUCCCAUCAUGCCCUGCAGUGGUGGCGGCAGCGUUCUACCUCACCAAACUCCCACAAACAAUGGAUCCAGCCAACUGUGCGCUUUACAUCUAAAGCCAGGAGCCAAAAUAAAUUGUUUUCCUUAAAAUCCAGCCAUGGC
Molecule: long non-coding RNA, 1993 nt
Filed under: Mus musculus (house mouse)
Lineage: Eukaryota; Metazoa; Chordata; Mammalia; Rodentia; Muridae
Description: predicted gene, 47875
Source: RNAcentral